This 395-nucleotide ribosomal RNA is filed under the name uncultured bacterium. RNAcentral's name for it is "bacterial SSU rRNA". It matches the Rfam family "Bacterial small subunit ribosomal RNA", at positions 29 to 418 of the family's 1533-position model. The record is from RNAcentral.
AUUGAACGCUGGCGGCAUGCCUUACACAUGCAAGUCGAGCGCGAAAGGGGGCAACCCCGAGUAGAGCGGCGGACGGGUGAGUAACACAUCGGAACGUGCCCAGUAGUGGGGGACAACCUCGAGAAAUCGAGGCUAAUACCGCAUACGACCCACGGGUGAAAGCGGGGGACCCAAAGGAAACUGAGGGCCUCGCGCUAUUGGAGCGGCCGAUGUCCGAUUAGCUAGUUGGCGGGGUAAGAGCCCACCAAGGCGACGAUCGGUAGCUGGUCUGAGAGGACGACCAGCCACACUGGGACUGAGACACGGCCCAGACUCCUACGGGAGGCAGCAGUGGGGAAUUUUGGACAAUGGGGGCAACCCUGAUCCAGCCAUGCCGCGUGCGGGAAGAAGGCCUU